GAUGAACGCUAGCGGCAGGCUUAACACAUGCAAGUCGAGGGGUAUUGGUUUUCGGACCAAGAGACCGGCGCACGGGUGCGUAACGCGUAUGCAAUCUACCUUUUGCAGAGGGAUAGCCCCAGAGAAAUUUGGAUUAAUACCUCAUAGUAUAGUACUUUGGCAUCAAGGAACUAUUAAAGUCACAACGGCAAAAGAUGAGCAUGCGUCCCAUUAGCUAGUUGGUAAGGUAACGGCUUACCAAGGCUACGAUGGGUAGGGGUCCUGAGAGGGAGAUCCCCCA
Molecule: ribosomal RNA, 280 nt
Filed under: uncultured bacterium
Lineage: Bacteria
Description: partial 16S ribosomal RNA
Rfam family: Bacterial small subunit ribosomal RNA
Source: RNAcentral